AGCGAACGCUGGCGGCAGGCCUAACACAUGCAAGUCGAACGAACCUUUCGGGGUUAGUGGCGGACGGGUGAGUAACACGUGGGAACGUGCCUUUAGGUUCGGAAUAACUCAGGGAAACUUGUGCUAAUACCGAAUGUGCCCUUCGGGGGAAAGAUUAAUCGCCUUUAGAGCGGCCCGCGUCUGAUUAGCUAGUUGGUUGAGGUAAUGGCUCACCAAGGCGACGAUCAGUAGCUGGUCUGAGAGGAUGAUCAGCCACAUUGGGACUGAGACACGGCCCAAACUCCUACGGGAGGCAGCAGUGGGGAAUCUUGCGCAAUGGGCGAAAGCCUGACGCAGCCAUGCCGCGUGAAUGAUGAAGGUCUUAGGAUUGUAAAAUUCUUUCACCGGGGACGAUAAUGACGGUACCCGGGGAAGAAGCCCCGGCUAACUUCGUG
This 434-nucleotide ribosomal RNA is filed under the name uncultured bacterium. RNAcentral describes it as "partial 16S ribosomal RNA". It matches the Rfam family "Bacterial small subunit ribosomal RNA", at positions 29 to 507 of the family's 1533-position model. The record is from RNAcentral.